This 441-nucleotide ribosomal RNA is filed under the name uncultured bacterium. Its description in RNAcentral is "partial 16S ribosomal RNA". It matches the Rfam family "Bacterial small subunit ribosomal RNA", at positions 338 to 795 of the family's 1533-position model. The record is from RNAcentral.
CCUACGGGAGGCAGCAGUGGGGAAUAUUGCACAAUGGGAAACCCUGAUGCAGCGACGCCGCGUGAGUGAAGAAGUAUUUCGGUAUGUAAAGCUCUAUCAGCAGGGAAGAAAGAAAUGACGGUACCUGACUAAGAAGCCCCGGCUAACUACGUGCCAGCAGCCGCGGUAAUACGUAGGGGGCAAGCGUUAUCCGGAUUUACUGGGUGUAAAGGGAGCGUAGACGGCGAUGCAAGUCUGAAGUGAAAGGCGGGGGCCCAACCCCUGGACUGCUUUGGAAACUGUAUGGCUGGAGUGCAGGAGAGGUAAGUGGAAUUCCUAGUGUAGCGGUGAAAUGCGUAGAUAUUAGGAGGAACACCAGUGGCGAAGGCGGCUUACUGGACUGUAACUGACGUUGAGGCUCGAAAGCGUGUGGAGCAAACAGGAUUAGAUACCCCAGUAGUC